CAAUAGCGUAUAUUAAAGUUGUUGCAGUUAAAAAGCUCGUAGUUGGAUUUGUGGCGUACGGUGGGUUCCGGGCACUUGUUGUCUGAGUAACUUGCUGUUGCCAUCCUUGGGUGGAACCUGUGUGGCAUUAGGUUGUCGUGCAGGGGAUGCCCAUCAUUUACUGUGAAAAAAUUAGAGUGUUCAAAGCAGGCUUAUGCCGUUGAAUAUAUUAGCAUGGAAUAAUGAGAUAGGACUUUUUUGCUAUUUUGUUGGUUUGCGCAAAGAGGUAAUGAUUAAUAGGGACAGUUGGGGGUAUUCGUAUUCCAUUGUCAGAGGCGAAAUUCUUGGAUUUUUGGAAGACGAACUACUGCGAAAGCAUUUACCAAGGAUGUUUUCAUUAA
This 380-nucleotide ribosomal RNA is filed under the name uncultured eukaryote. RNAcentral describes it as "partial 18S ribosomal RNA". It matches the Rfam family "Eukaryotic small subunit ribosomal RNA", at positions 592 to 976 of the family's 1831-position model. The record is from RNAcentral.